This 177-nucleotide unclassified non-coding RNA is filed under the name uncultured fungus. Its description in RNAcentral is "sequence contains ITS1, 5.8S rRNA gene". The record is from RNAcentral. Lineage: Eukaryota; Fungi.
UUCAUUUAUUUAAUCAAUACUCCGACGCAAAGAGACAGCGUUAAAUGGUCCUCCGGGGGCGGCGGCGGACGCUCUGCCCCCGAGGCAAAAGGGUUUUGGUCAACAAUGGGUUGGGGACGGGGGCACGGAGGCCCGCCAUCUUUAGUAAUGAUCCCUCCGCAGGUUCACCUACGGAGA